This 458-nucleotide ribosomal RNA is filed under the name uncultured bacterium. RNAcentral's name for it is "bacterial SSU rRNA". It matches the Rfam family "Bacterial small subunit ribosomal RNA", at positions 9 to 461 of the family's 1533-position model. The record is from RNAcentral.
GAGUUUGAUCCUGGCUCAGAGUGAACGCUGGCGGCAGGCCUAACACAUGCAAGUCGAACGGCAGCACAGUAAGAGCUUGCUCUUAUGGGUGGCGAGUGGCGGACGGGUGAGGAAUACAUCGGAAUCUACUCUUUCGUGGGGGAUAACGUAGGGAAACUUACGCUAAUACCGCAUACGACCUACGGGUGAAAGCGGAGGACCUUCGGGCUUCGCGCGAUUGAAUGAGCCGAUGUCGGAUUAGCUAGUUGGCGGGGUAAAGGCCCACCAAGGCGACGAUCCGUAGCUGGUCUGAGAGGAUGAUCAGCCACACUGGAACUGAGACACGGUCCAGACUCCUACGGGAGGCAGCAGUGGGGAAUAUUGGACAAUGGGCGCAAGCCUGAUCCAGCCAUGCCGCGUGGGUGAAGAAGGCCUUCGGGUUGUAAAGCCCUUUUGUUGGGAAAGAAAAGCAGUCGGUU